GGGGGCUGGCGGGGGUAGGGGGACUGGCUGCUCGGGGAUAGGCUGGGCAUCAGACAGCAGGUGGUGAGCAAUUGCAUUGUUCAUCACUUGUUUGUGCAUAUUAUUAAUAGUAGAACUAUUAUCAUCAGUUUAUUAUUAUUAUUAUUAUUAUUAUUAUUAUU
Molecule: long non-coding RNA, 161 nt
Organism: Oxyura jamaicensis (ruddy duck)
Lineage: Eukaryota; Metazoa; Chordata; Aves; Anseriformes; Anatidae
Exons: 3
Source: RefSeq, a predicted model, not a curated record